This 397-nucleotide unclassified non-coding RNA is filed under the name Hevea brasiliensis (rubber tree). Lineage: Eukaryota; Viridiplantae; Streptophyta; Magnoliopsida; Malpighiales; Euphorbiaceae. The record is from RNAcentral.
UUCCUGUGCGGCCAAACCAGAGACGGUGGCCAAGGUUUGUGAAAUUGUGAAGGAGCAGUUGUCGCUCACCGCUGGUACUUCUGUCAGCGGUGAAUCGAAGUUCACUGCCCUUGGAGCUGACUCACUUGACACGGUUGAAAUUGUGAUGGCUCUGGAGGAGUCAUUUGGGAUCACUGUGGAAGAAGAAAAUGCCCAGACCAUCGUCACUGUGCAGGAUGCUGCUGAUUUGAUUGAGAAACUCGUGGAGGAGAAAUCUGAGUGAUAUUGUGUGUUAGUCUUAGUUUCUGCAGUUUGAUGAGUGGGUUGUGGACUGUUAGUUGAAUGUGUAAGCUAGGUUAGAGUUUAUUCUAGAACUCUGAGGUCUAUCUAUGUUAAUUUAUUUUCCUUUUUUUUUUUG